RNAcentral lists this transfer RNA (85 nucleotides) under Bacteroidetes bacterium CG23_combo_of_CG06-09_8_20_14_all_32_9. RNAcentral's name for it is "tRNA-Leu". It matches the Rfam family "tRNA". From Rfam's summary of the family: Transfer RNA (tRNA) molecules are approximately 80 nucleotides in length. Their secondary structure includes four short double-helical elements and three loops (D, anti-codon, and T loops). Further hydrogen bonds mediate the characteristic L-shaped molecular structure. tRNAs have two regions of fundamental functional importance: the anti-codon, which is responsible for specific mRNA codon recognition, and the 3' end, to which the tRNAs corresponding amino acid is attached (by aminoacyl-tRNA synthetases). tRNAs cope with the degeneracy of the genetic code in two manners: having more than one tRNA (with a specific anti-codon) for a particular amino acid; and 'wobble' base-pairing, i.e. permitting non-standard base-pairing at the 3rd anti-codon position. Lineage: Bacteria; Pseudomonadati; Bacteroidota. The record is from RNAcentral.
GCGGGUGUGGCGGAAUUGGCAGACGCUCCAGACUUAGGAUCUGGUGCCGCAAGGCGUGGGGGUUCGAGUCCCUUCAUCCGCACAA